UACGGAGGGUGCAAGCGUUAAUCGGAAUUACUGGGCGUAAAGCGCACGCAGGCGGUCUUUUAAGUCAGAUGUGAAAGCCCCGAGCUCAACCUGGGAAUUGCAUCUGAAACUGGCAAGCUUGAGUCUUGUAGAGGGGGGUAGAAUUCCAUGUGUAGCGGUGAAAUGCGUAGAGAUCUGGAGGAAUACCGGCGGCGAAGGCGGCCCCCUGGACGAAGACUGACGCUCAGGUGCGAAAGCGUGGGGAGCAAACGGG
RNAcentral lists this ribosomal RNA (253 nucleotides) under uncultured bacterium. Its description in RNAcentral is "partial 16S ribosomal RNA". It matches the Rfam family "Bacterial small subunit ribosomal RNA", at positions 524 to 776 of the family's 1533-position model. The record is from RNAcentral.